RNAcentral lists this ribosomal RNA (530 nucleotides) under uncultured Glaciimonas sp. Its description in RNAcentral is "bacterial SSU rRNA". It matches the Rfam family "Bacterial small subunit ribosomal RNA", at positions 8 to 531 of the family's 1533-position model. Lineage: Bacteria; Pseudomonadati; Pseudomonadota; Betaproteobacteria; Burkholderiales; Oxalobacteraceae. The record is from RNAcentral.
AGAGUUUGAUCCUGGCUCAGAUUGAACGCUGGCGGCAUGCCUUACACAUGCAAGUCGAACGGCAGCACGGGGGCAACCCUGGUGGCGAGUGGCGAACGGGUGAGUAAUAUAUCGGAACGUGCCCUGGAGUGGGGGAUAACUAGUCGAAAGAUUAGCUAAUACCGCAUACGAUCUACGGAUGAAAGUGGGGGACCCGCAAGGGCCUCAUGCUCCUGGAGCGGCCGAUAUCUGAUUAGCUAGUUGGUGAGGUAAAGGCUCACCAAGGCAUCGAUCAGUAGCUGGUCUGAGAGGACGACCAGCCACACUGGGACUGAGACACGGCCCAGACUCCUACGGGAGGCAGCAGUGGGGAAUUUUGGACAAUGGGCGCAAGCCUGAUCCAGCAAUGCCGCGUGAGUGAAGAAGGCCUUCGGGUUGUAAAGCUCUUUUGUCAGGGAAGAAACGGUGAGGGCGAAUACCCCUUGCUAAUGACGGUACCUGAAGAAUAAGCACCGGCUAACUACGUGCCAGCAGCCGCGGUAAUACGUAGG